RNAcentral lists this ribosomal RNA (339 nucleotides) under Streptomyces sp. W64. RNAcentral describes it as "bacterial SSU rRNA". It matches the Rfam family "Bacterial small subunit ribosomal RNA", at positions 130 to 482 of the family's 1533-position model. The record is from RNAcentral. Lineage: Bacteria; Bacillati; Actinomycetota; Actinomycetes; Kitasatosporales; Streptomycetaceae.
CCUGCUCUCUGGGACAAGGCCUGGAAACGGGGUCUAAUACCGGAUACUGAUCCGUCUGGGCAUCCAGAUGGUUCGAAAGCUCCGGCGGUGCAUGAUGAGCCCGCGGCCUAUCAGCUUGUUGGUGAGGUAGUGGCUCACCAAGGCGACGACGGGUAGCCGGCCUGAGAGGGCGACCGGCCACACUGGGACUGAGACACGGCCCAUACUCCUACGGGAGGCAUCAUUGGGGAAUAUUGCACAAUGGGCGAAAGCCUGAUGCAGCGACGCCGCGUGAGGGAUGACGGCCUUCGGGUUGUAAACCUCUUUCAGCAGGGAAGAAGCGAAAGUGACGGUACCUGC